This 4366-nucleotide long non-coding RNA is filed under the name Canis lupus familiaris (dog). RNAcentral's name for it is "lncRNA (ENSCAFG00040024575.1)". Lineage: Eukaryota; Metazoa; Chordata; Mammalia; Carnivora; Canidae. The record is from RNAcentral.
AUGACUUCUACCAAGAUUCUGCUGCUCUUGCUGUCAACAGUUUUGCUGGCCUUGGGCUCUGCUCAGGCCAUCGAUGACAAAGCCCUUCAAAAGGAAGAGGAUACACCCCAAUUAGUAGAUGAUGAACUAUUUGAAGAAAACUCAGAGGAAUCACAAGUAAAACCUCAAGAAGAAAAUGGAGAUCAGAAUGGCAAGCCAGGCAAAGAGGAAGACAAAGGCAAUGGACAAAAGCAGAGGCCUCAUGACCAGAGUGUCCAGGGAGUCCUUGGAAGCCUAUUUAGCAGAGGUGGCCCACAUCACCCUAGUGGCCAACAGGGCCCAGGAGGCCAACAGGGUUCAGGUGGUCAACAAGCCCAGGUGGUCAACAGGGCCCAGGUGGCCAACACUGUCCAGGUGGCCAACAGGGCCCAGGUAGCCAAGGUGGUCAAGGAAGCCAAUAGGGUCCAGGUGGCCAACAGGGCCCAGGUGACCAACACCGUCCAGGUGGCCAAGGUGGUCAAGGAAGCCAACAGGGUCCAGGUGGCCAACAGGGUCCAGGUGGCCAAGGUGGUCAAGGAAGCCAACAGAGUCCAGAAGGCCAACAAGGUCCUGGUGGUCAACAUGGCCCAGGUAGCCUAGGUGGUCAAGGAAGCCAACAGGGUCCAGGUGGCCAGCAGGGCUCAGGUGGCCAAAGAGACCAGCAGGGAAGAAAUGACUAGCAUGGUCAACAUGGUGGCCAGUGACUAGGAAAACCAACUAAAGAAGACCUCCUUCAAUUCUCUAGGUAUUAAUUCUAUUCGUACUAAUCUAGUAAGAUAGUAAUUUCUUUUGAUAUUUCCUAAUAUCUCUUCUUGUUUCUUCCACUCAGAGUUUUUUUGUUUUGUUAUAUUUUGACUCCCUCAUUCUUAUAUUGGCCUACAGCCUUCCCAAGUUUUACCUCCCUUCCCCUCUUCCUCUUGUCUCCUGUGUUCCCUUCCCUUUACUCUCUCCUGGCCUCCUCCUCUCAUCCUGCUUCUUCUGUUCUCUCUUAACAUGAUAUCCUGUCAUGUCCUCUAGUACCCACUAGUAGAAAUACUGACAUAGAUCAUGUCCAGGUCAAAUUAAUAUUUCUGUCUAAAAUUCUUCUCUUUGUCUUAGAAAUUGAGAGAGAUGAACUGGUGACCAUGGAGUUUUCAGUCAUGUCAACGUGGCCUUUCCUUUCUCUGACUUCAAAUCAUCAAUAAAGUCAUUAGCAUUAAAGUUCUGGCUAUUGUUUUUCUUCUAAGUUCAUGAUUCUUAGGGUAUAAGAAGGCCAAGUUGGGAGAUACAAGCCCUGAAGGACUCCAAAUGUUGUGCAUUAUGCAGCUUUAUGCAGCUCUGAUUUUAAUAUUUUGUGGGGACUUAACUCCCACCAAUAUUACAAAACAGAAACAUUUUUUUCUUGAGACCAGUAAGGGGGUUUGCCAAUUUCAGUUGACCAAUACUACCCUUUUCUUAGCUUAAACACAGAGAGAAUUACCUCAUAAUUUCCAUUGACUUCUGGUAGUCCUUCGAUGUACGUGUGUUCUAUUGUGAGGUGAGGGUGUGUAGAAGGGGAAACAUUGUGCAUUGUUGGUGGGAAUGUACACCAGUGCCAUGGCUAUUGAACACAGCAUGGAGGUUCCUCGAAAAAUGACAAAGAGAACUGCAAUACAAUCCAGCACUUCCACUUCUGGGUAUUUAUUCAAAGAAAAUGAAAACACUAUUUUGUAAAGAGACAUGCACCCCUAAUGUUCAUGGCAGCAUUAUUCACAAUAGGCAAGCUAUCGAAGUAGCCUACAUGUCCAUGAGUAGAUGAAUGGAUAAAGAAGAUGUGGUGUGUAUACACAAUGGAAUAUUACUCAGCCAUAAAAAGGAAGGAAAUCUUGCUAUUUUCGACAACACAUGGAUCUAGAGAGUAUAAUGUUGAGUCAAAUAAGUCAGUCAGAGACAAACACCAUAUGAUUUCAUACAUACGUGAAAUCUAAAAGCCAAAAUAAAUGAGCCAACAGAACAAAACAAAAACAGACUUGCAGAUACAGAGAACUAAUGAUCCAGUGCUUUCCAGAAGGCAGAGGGAGGGAGGAUGGGCAAAAUAGGAUCAAAAAGCAGAUUAAAAGGUAUGACAUACAUUUAUAAGUGUAUAAAUAAGAUACAGGGAUACACCAUACACAUAAGGAAUGCAGUUAAUAAUGUGUAACUUUUUUGUAUGUUGAUAGAUGAUAGCUAGAUUUUUCUUGAUGAUCCUUCACAGUGUAUAGAAAUGUUCAAUCACUAUGUUGUACAUCUGAAAAUAAUAUAAUAUUGUAGGUCAACUAUGCUUCAAUUUUUUUGAGAGAGAAAUGUGACUGGGAGAAAAGAAAAAGAAAAAUAAACAGGGAAAAUGUGGACACACAAGUGUACACAGGAAGAUAAAGCCACACAAGUGGCCAUGCGAAGAUAAAGCCAGAGAUCAGGGCAAUGUAGCAGAAGCUAAGGAACAUUAAAGAUUGCCAGCAAACAACCAGGGGCUGUGAGAAAGGCCUGGAACAGAUUCUUCCUGAGAGCCCUCAGACUGAACCAACACCUUAGUCUUGGCCUUCUGGUCUCCAGAACUGUUAAUAAAUAAAUUUCUGUCAUUUAAGUCACUCACUUUGUACUACUCUGUUACACUUAAUCCAUCUACCUCUGAAGCCUCUGAGUGGAAAGCCACAGAAAGAGGGUUUCCAGAGAAGCAUCCCUCACUUGGGAAGGGGGUCCAUAGAGACAGGCUAGGAAGGUGAAGCACCUUCCUAGGUGAAGCACCAGAAGUCCUUGUUUCUCGAGUGUCAAAAUGUGACAAUCCCUGUGGCAGCUCACACAUGGAAAUGCAGGUUGCCCCACAAGGCUGACAUUAAAAAUCAGGAUGGGAUAAAAAAGAAGGUUGUAGUGGACAAUGCUAAGAAGAAUAUAAGUAGUUUGCCUUCAGUAUGAGUAUUAGUGAAGAAUUUACAGGUUACGAUAACAGACACAAAGUAAAAAUGUUCAAUUCUGUUUAUUCCCACACUUCCUGCCAGGUUCAGUUCUGAAAUCAGACCUAGAACUGACCUUCUCUUUGGAAGCAGAAUCAAUAUCUGGUCGUUCUGGCAUUCUCAGUAUCAUGAUAGACUUACUAUACAAUUUUGGAAGUAAUGUGAUUAUUCUGCAGGUGGAGUUGGGUACCUUGCACAAAGCAACAUAUGUGAAGAUAUGUAAACCUGAGGGUAGAAACAUCUGAAAGUAACUUCAGGGAGGAUUCAAGGAUAAGUGAGCAGCUUUCUCUUUACUCUGCAAACAGGGUAGGAGUCCCAGCUGCAAUAUUUUUCAAUUUACCAUCAUUUACUAAAAGCACAGAGGAAAAAAAACAUAAAAGAUAAAAACCUACAAGCCUCAUGAUAACACUAGUUACUAAAGAUAAUUGAAAAUAACUUACUAAAUAAUGAGCUUCUAUCAUUUCAAUCCAAAUAUUGGGCAGCAAAGCUCAUAGUCUUGUAUCCGAAUCAGUACAGUUUUGCAUAAUGCAAGAGUAUUGAACAGGCAAGGUCACUCACAAAUGACCUGGCAUGCUUUGUUUUCAGAAAGAGAUCCCCAAAAUUGUCUUUCCUAGUUAAAAACUGCAUGCCUAGCAAUAUUAUCUUCAGUUCAGACCUCUAGUCCCCAUUUCUUCUCCCCUCACAUUACUUGGAAGACCUGUUUCCCAGCCCACUGGAAGGAAUUUCCUGUUUGCUCACAUUAAAAUCAAGUACUCCUUGGGAGUACUUCUGAAGGUACUCCUCCUCCUAAAAUACAGCUUUAUAUUAAAAGUUAUAUCCCAGUCUGAAGUAUUUGCAAAGAAAUGAUCGGGCUACUCCUACUCUCCAAAAAUGUCUUUGUUGCCGAUAGAAUCGAUCACAAAUUCAGUUUGACAUUCACAACAUUCUUCACAAUCUGGAACUAACCCACAUCUGAGCUUUAUCUUCUUAUAUUCUCUUCAAUCUUACUGGAUCAUUCAGUGUUCCUAGACCAUUGAAAAUACUAUACUACAUACAUAGGGUUAGCCAUGCUUUUCACUUUGCCUUCUUCCACACUGCUCUCCAAAGGUACAGCUGCCACGGCAUCUCCUUCCUGUAUGAAACUUUCCUUUCUCCCCUGCUCUGAACUUUGAAAAUUGCUUCUUUUGCCACUUUUCCAAUAGUGAUCAUCAUUAUGUCAAAGCUAAAUCUCCCAUGAGAUCUUGCAUCCUCUAAGGACAGGAACAAUGAAUGUUUCAUAUACCUUCAUGUCACCAGUACUAUUUAAGGACAAUGAAAAAGACAAUGCAGAAGCUGUUGUUUUGCAGACUUUUGACCUUGGGGUCAAAAUUAUACGGUUUUGACCUUGGGGUCUUAAUUAUACGGUUCUAACUGAACAGAGA